Molecule: ribosomal RNA, 253 nt
Filed under: uncultured microorganism
Description: partial 16S ribosomal RNA
Rfam family: Bacterial small subunit ribosomal RNA
Source: RNAcentral
UACGGAGGGGGCGAGCGUUGUUCGGAGUUACUGGGCGUAAAGCGCACGUAGGCGGUGCGGUAAGUCAGGGGUUAAAGGCUGCAGCUCAACUGCAGUAAGGCCUUUGAUACUAUCGUGCUAGAGUGUCAGAGAGGAUGGCGGAAUUCCCGGUGUAGCGGUGAAAUGCGUAGAUAUCGGGAGGAACAUCAGUAGCGAAGGCGGCCAUCUGGCUGAUAACUGACGCUGAGGUGCGAGAGCGUGGGGAGCAAACAGG